Long non-coding RNA from Tupaia belangeri chinensis (Chinese tree shrew), 454 nucleotides. RefSeq lists it as uncharacterized. The transcript has 3 exons. The record is from RefSeq and is a predicted model, not a curated record. Lineage: Eukaryota; Metazoa; Chordata; Mammalia; Scandentia; Tupaiidae.
GUACUCCAUCGCCUGCUGCUUCAGGUUCUGCAGCUCCCUAGUGGUCCCACAGCUGCGGCCGCCGUCUGCUUCCCCCAUGAUGGAGAGUGUUGGCGUGUACGGAUUCUGUGGGUGUAAAGCAAAGAACAAAAUGAAGUGUGAUUCAAAGUGGGAAAUAACUGCUUCAGGUAGGAAAUGAACCAAUACAUGAUUUUCCCCGUGCACAUGAACCGUUCGUGAGCUGUGAAAGCAAUCCCAUUUGACCAUCUGUUUGUUGCUUUACCGGGCCCCGUGACACCGCCGUCCCCCGUGUGCUUGGAUGGCUGCAGUGCAGACACCGCAGCAGCACGCAGGGCAGCCCACUGCGUCUGCAGGCAGCCGGGCUCUCAGAAGGUUCUUUCCUCGCUCGUCUGCUUGUAGUUUCUGACACUCAUGUUUGUUCAAUGAAUACUUAUUAAACACUGCUUUCAUUCCA